GAGCCUAAUGCGGGGCUCGAUCCCAGCAUCCUUGGUUCAUGAGCCGAAGACAGACGCUUAACGCCUGAGCCACCCCGGGGGCCCCUCAUUUCUCCUCUGUUACAGUUGUUUGGGAUCCUGACGGGUCUGGCACAAAUGGCAGGAUUUCCUGAGCUUUUAGUGUCAUAGCCCCCCAAUUAGAGGCAUCAAAGUUGGCUGGUUCAGAUGCCUGCAUCAUCAAGAAUGGAAGUUUAACCUAUUUAUGGCUAAAAUUUCCUUGACUUUGAAAAAGACUUACUUUACCACUCAGCAAUCUUCUAGUCCUCAAGCAGCAUUGCUCCCUCAAUUGUACUUCAAAAUACUGUGGUCAGAAGAGACAAAAAUCAAUUUGACUAAAUGGAAGGACAAUUUUUGUAUCGUUUGGAACUAGAUGGAGAAUGUACCUAAAAUUUUGAGAAAAAUAUAAUGAUCCAAGGGCAAGAUCAAUUUUAUAUUAAGACUAUAGAAGAACAUUUAAAAACUCAGCAUUUAAAUGUCUGUUCUCCUUGGUAGAAGAUACUCUGCUUCUUACUUUCUAUAUCCUCCUUAGGGCUGGUCCUAACCUCACCUGGUAUGAACCUUUGCUGUUGUGGAUCUGAAGUUUAGAAAGCUCUAACAAUUUAAAUGCUAAAGAAUUUGGGAUUUGCUUAUAAGAUAAUUUUUCAUAGAUAUACUUAUUCAUAUCCACAUACUUACCCCUAUAUUUAUAAUAUGUUGAAAUAUUCCAUUUAAAAGGGAAACUUAAGUAAAAAGAACUAGUAUGUUCUGUACUAUUCUAUUGAGUUAGUAGACUUAUAGUUCAUCUCCCUGGGAAAUGGAACAUAUAAUAGUGAGUAUAGUGCAUGAACUGGGUAAUUAUAUAUUUAGUUGAAUUAAUGAAGUUAUGAAUAAACUUUAUUCAUUUUCCACUAAAAACUACUGCUUACUUUAUUAUGUUUACUUCUCCAUUAGAAAAAUUAGAGCAUUCACAGGCUUUUUCAUAACAGAACUUAAGAUUUCCAGUUGAAUGUUUUGGAGAAUAGACUAUAAUAAUUAAAACACAUAUUACUUCUACAAUGCUUAAUAUUUUAAUAUGUUUAAAGUAUUUUAUUACUACAAGCUAACAAGCAAUGUCUUUUGAGUCCACAAUUAUAUAGAAGGUAAAAAUUUUUUUUCUUUUGUAGCUUUUUAGAAAAAUGAAAUUUGAAAUGGAGUACAUUAUGAGGGCUUACAGCUUACUGUAGGUUUUUAACUAUGUGCCCAGAUAUGGCCUAUCAUAUCUUAUUACUGUACCUAAUAAUAAUGGCUAAGUUUAUCCUUUUAAAAAUUUCUUUGUACCACAAAUUUGUGCUCCUUUUAAAAAUUUGAGUGUUUAUAUUUUAGUCAUGGCACAGUUUGUGGAAAAUCUUUGACAGGAACUGUGAAAGCUUGGUGAAAGUCACAGUUUAAGAUUAACAUAAGCACCUACAAAAAAUACAGACAAUUCAUAGUGGUUCCUAUAUUUGUUCUUAUAAAAUAAAAAUGAU
Mustela erminea (ermine) is the source of this 1523-nucleotide long non-coding RNA. RefSeq lists it as uncharacterized. Lineage: Eukaryota; Metazoa; Chordata; Mammalia; Carnivora; Mustelidae. The record is from RefSeq and is a predicted model, not a curated record. The transcript is spliced from 3 exons.